Molecule: ribosomal RNA, 253 nt
Filed under: uncultured bacterium
Lineage: Bacteria
Description: partial 16S ribosomal RNA
Rfam family: Bacterial small subunit ribosomal RNA
Source: RNAcentral
UACGUAGGGUGCAAGCGUUAAUCGGAAUUACUGGGCGUAAAGGGUGCGCAGGCGGUACGUUAAGUCAGAUGUGAAAUCCCCGGGCUCAACCUGGGAAUGGCAUUUGAAACUGGCGUGCUAGAGUGAAUCAGAGGGGGGUAGAAUUCCACGUGUAGCAGUGAAAUGCGUAGAGAUGUGGAGGAACACCGAUGGCGAAGGCAGCCCCCUGGGAAAUCACUGACGCUCAAGCACGAAAGCGUGAGGAGCAAACAGG